This 514-nucleotide ribosomal RNA is filed under the name Trirhithrum coffeae. RNAcentral describes it as "partial 16S ribosomal RNA". The stretch from base 390 to 514 matches the Rfam family "Bacterial large subunit ribosomal RNA", at positions 2473 to 2597 of the family's 2925-position model. Lineage: Eukaryota; Metazoa; Arthropoda; Insecta; Diptera; Tephritidae. The record is from RNAcentral.
GUCUUUUUGAGUUAUUUUAAAAGUCUGACCUGCCCACUGAAUUAUUUUAAAUGGCCGCAGUAUUCUAACUGUGCAAAGGUAGCAUAAUCAUUAGUCUUUUAAUUGAAGGCUGGUAUGAAUGGUUGGACGAAGUAUAAGCUGUUUCAUAUAAAAUUUAAUUAGAAUUUUAUUUUUUAGUAAAAAAGCUAAAAUUUUAUUAAAAGACGAGAAGACCCUAUAAAUCUUUAUAUUAUAUUAUAUUUAAAUUUUUUUGAUUUAUUUUAUUUUUAUAAAAUAUAGUAUUUUGUUGGGGUGAUAUUAAAAUUUAAUGAACUUUUAAUUAUUUUUAAAUCAUUAAUUUAUGAUUUAUUGAUCCAUUAUUAGUGAUUAUAAGAUUAAGUUACUUUAGGGAUAACAGCGUAAUUUUUUUUGAGAGUUCAUAUCGACAAAAAAGUUUGCGACCUCGAUGUUGGAUUAAGAUAUAUUUUUAGGUGUAGCCGCUUAAAUAUUGAGUCUGUUCGACUUUUAAAUUCUU